RNAcentral lists this ribosomal RNA (1244 nucleotides) under metagenome. RNAcentral describes it as "bacterial LSU rRNA". It matches the Rfam family "Bacterial large subunit ribosomal RNA", at positions 1564 to 2815 of the family's 2925-position model. The record is from RNAcentral.
UGAAUACGAGACGCUACGGCGUCGAAGCAGUCUAUGUCAUACUUCCAAGAAAAGCUUGCACUGUCAUAAACAAAUAAUGCCUGUACCAUAACCGACACAGGUGGGUAGGUAGAGUAUACUAAGGGGCGCGAGAUAACUCUCUCUAAGGAACUCGGCAAAAUGACUCCGUAACUUCGGGAGAAGGAGUGCCUUAAGAAAUUAAGGUUGCAAUAACAAGAUCCAAGCAACUGUUUAUCAAAAACACAGGUCUCCGCUAAGUCGUAAGACGAUGUAUGGGGGCUGACGCCUGCCCAGUGCCAGAAGGUUAAAGAAGUCGGUUAGCAUUAGCGAAGCUGGUAACUGAAGCCCUGGUGAACGGCGGCCGUAACAAUAACGGUCCUAAGGUAGCGAAAUUCCUUGUCGGGUAAGUUCCGACCCGCACGAAAGGCGUAAUGAUUUGGAUUCUGUCUCGGAGAGGGACUCGGUGAAAUAGACUUGUCUGUGAAGAUGCGGACUACCUGCACCAGGACAGAAAGACCCUAUGAAGCUUUACUGUAACUUGUAAUUGAAAUUGGACUUUACUUGCGCAGUAUAGGUGGGAGGCGUUGAGAAUAUUCUUGCGGGAAUAUUGGAGCCAUCAGUGAGAUACCACUCUUGUAAUGUUAGAUUUCUAACUUUGUAUCAUUAUCUGGUCAAAGAACAGUUUCAGGCGGGCAGUUUGACUGGGGCGGUCGCCUCCUAAACGGUAACGGAGGCGCACAAAGGUUUCCUCUGAACGGGUAGAAAUCGUAUCUAGAGUGUAAAGGCAUAAGGAAGCUUGACUGUGAGACCUACAAGUCGAGCAGGGACGAAAGUCGGUCUUAGUGAUCUGACGGUGCUGAGUGGAAAGGCCGUCACUCAACGGAUAAAAGUUACUCUAAGGAUAACAGGCUGAUCUCCCCCAAGAGUUCACAUCGACGGGGAGGUUUGGCACCUCGAUGUCGGCUCAUCGCAUCCUGGGGCGGUAGUACGUCCCAAGGGUUGGGCUGUUCGCCCAUGAAAGCGGUACGCGAGCUGGGUUCAGAACGUCGUGAGACAGUUCGGUCCAUAUCCGGUGUAGGCGUUAGAAUAUUGAGAGGAGCCUUCUUUAGUACGAGAGGACCGAGAAGGACAUACCUCUGGUGUACCAGUUAUCGUGCCAACGGUAAACGCUGGGUAGCCAUGUAUGGAGAGGAUAACCGCUGAAAGCAUCUAAGUGGGAAGCCCACCUCAAGAUAAGUAUUCGC